RNAcentral lists this long non-coding RNA (706 nucleotides) under Gossypium barbadense (sea-island cotton). RNAcentral describes it as "long non-coding RNA (GBAR_LNC016400)". The record is from RNAcentral. Lineage: Eukaryota; Viridiplantae; Streptophyta; Magnoliopsida; Malvales; Malvaceae.
AAAAAGGGAGAAAAAGCAAAUCAGAAAAAAAGGUGAUUUCGAGUUUUAUUCUCUAUUUUUUGCUCUCGAUCUUUUUUCUUUUUUGGAUUCUUUGCUUUCUUUUUCUUUUAUUCAUUGUUUGAAAUAAAAAAAAACCGAGGAAGGAUGAGAGUCUACCUGCAUAACGUGACCGUCGGAUCCCUGCUUCUCUCGUCGUAAUUGAAGCAAAUGGGAUCUGAAAGGUUGAGCGGCGCAGGGAGAAAUCCUUAGGUUUUAGGUUUUUUUUUGUAAAUGACUGAUGGCUGAUUAGUUUUAGGAUUAUUUUAGUCUUUAUACGGUGAAAGAAACGGCAGCGUUUUAAGCAGGCCAUAUAGCUUUAAAAACGACGCCGUUUGGAAGCUCAGACCCGCGUGGUGACCCGACCCAGGGCAGGAUCCGCGUGCUUCUGUUCAUUGGUCUAUUUUCACGACGAGUCCCUCUGGUUUUGUGGAAUUUCGAUUUGAUUUUCUUCGAUUUUUUUAUUUGUACAGCAUAUUUAAUUUUGUUUUCAUUUGAAUCCAAGUUUAAAUGGUGUCGUUUUCUACCAUUGAUUAUGAUUAUUCGGGUUUUUGCGUUUAAUUUUUGUUUUAGUCCUUCAAUUUUGAGUCAAUCACAAUUUAACCUACUUUUAUUUUUUAUUUCUGUUCAUAACCCUUUUAAUUUUAUUUUGAUUUCAAUUUCAUCUUGG